UGGGGAAUAUUGCACAAUGGGCGAAAGCCUGAUGCAGCCAUGCCGCGUGUGUGAAGAAGGCCUUCGGGUUGUAAAGCACUUUCAGUUGUGAGGAAAGGGAUGUAGUUAAUAGCUGCAUUCUGUGACGUUAACAACAGAAGAAGCACCGGCUAACUUCGUGCCAGCAGCCGCGGUAAUACGAGGGGUGCAAGCGUUAAUCGGAAUUACUGGGCGUAAAGCGUACGUAGGCGGUUUGAUAAGCAAGAUGUGAAAGCCCAGGGCUCAACCUUGGAACUGCAUUUUGAACUGUCAGACUAGAGUACUGUAGAGGGUGGUGGAAUUUCCAGUGUAGCGGUGAAAUGCGUAGAGAUUGGAAGGAACAUCAGUGGCGAAGGCGGCCACCUGGACAGAUACUGACGCUGAGGUACGAAAGCGUGGGGAGCGAACAGG
RNAcentral lists this ribosomal RNA (429 nucleotides) under uncultured bacterium. RNAcentral describes it as "bacterial SSU rRNA". It matches the Rfam family "Bacterial small subunit ribosomal RNA", at positions 355 to 776 of the family's 1533-position model. The record is from RNAcentral.